Molecule: ribosomal RNA, 511 nt
Filed under: uncultured bacterium
Lineage: Bacteria
Description: partial 16S ribosomal RNA
Rfam family: Bacterial small subunit ribosomal RNA
Source: RNAcentral
GAUGAACGCUGGCGGCGUGCCUAAUACAUGCAAGUCGAACGAAACUUCUUUAUCACCGAGUGCUUGCACUCACCGAUAAAGAGUUGAGUGGCGAACGGGUGAGUAACACGUGGGCAACCUGCCCAAAAGAGGGGGAUAACACUUGGAAACAGGUGCUAAUACCGCAUAACCAUAGUUACCGCAUGGUAACUAUGUAAAAGGUGGCUAUACUACCGCUUUUGGAUGGGCCCGCGGCGCAUUAGCUAGUUGGUAGGGUAAAGGCUUACCAAGGCAAUGAUGCGUAGCCGAAUUGAGAGGUUGAUCGGCCACAUUGGGACUGAGACACGGCCCAAACUCCUACGGGAGGCAGCAGUAGGGAAUCUUCCACAAUGGGCGAAAGCCUGAUGGAGCAACGCCGCGUGGGUGAAGAAGGUCUUCGGAUCGUAAAACCCUGUUGUUAGAGAAGAAAGUGCGUGAGAGUAACUGUUCACGUUUCGACGGUAUCUAACCAGAAAGCCACUGCUAACCACGU